This 227-nucleotide ribosomal RNA is filed under the name Staphylococcus succinus. RNAcentral describes it as "partial 23S ribosomal RNA". It matches the Rfam family "Bacterial large subunit ribosomal RNA", at positions 1873 to 2099 of the family's 2925-position model. The record is from RNAcentral. Lineage: Bacteria; Bacillati; Bacillota; Bacilli; Caryophanales; Staphylococcaceae.
AAGGUUAAGAGGAGUGGUUAGCUUCGGCGAAGCGACGAAUCGAAGCACCAGUAAACGGCGGCCGUAACUAUAACGGUCCUAAGGUAGCGAAAUUCCUUGUCGGGUAAGUGCCGACCCGCACGAAAGGCGUAACGAUUUGGGCACUGUCUCAACGAGAGACUCGGUGAAAUCAUAGUACCUGUGAAGAUGCAGGUUACCCGCGACAGGACGGAAAGACCCCGUGGAGC